This 1208-nucleotide ribosomal RNA is filed under the name Clostridioides difficile. RNAcentral describes it as "partial 23S ribosomal RNA". It matches the Rfam family "Bacterial large subunit ribosomal RNA", at positions 1 to 1214 of the family's 2925-position model. Lineage: Bacteria; Bacillati; Bacillota; Clostridia; Peptostreptococcales; Peptostreptococcaceae. The record is from RNAcentral.
GGUCAAGUUAUUAAGGGUGCAGGGCGGAUGCCUUGGCACUAGGAGCCGAUGAAGGACGUGAUAAGCUGCGAUAAGCUUCGGGGAGUUGCACGUAAACUUUGAUCCGAAGAUUUCCGAAUGAGGAAACUCACUUAGAGUAAUGUCUAAGUAUCAUUAAGUGAAUACAUAGCUUAAUGAGGGGAACUCAGGGAACUGAAACAUCUAAGUACCUGAAGGAAGAGAAAGAAAUUCGAUUCCGUAAGUAGCGGCGAGCGAACGCGGAUUAGCCCAAACCAAUAAAGUUUUCUUUAUUGGGGUUGCGGACAUAUCAUAACGAAGAGGUAUCGUAAUUGAAGAGGUUUGGAAAGACCCACCACAGAAGGUAAUAGUCCUGUAUGUUAAACGAGAAGACUUUAGAUAUGAUCCAGAGUACCACGGGACACGUGAAACCCUGUGGGAAGCAGGAGGGACCACCCUCCAAGGCUAAAUACUACCUAGUGACCGAUAGCGUAUAGUACCGUGAGGGAAAGGUGAAAAGAACCCCGGGAGGGGAGUGAAAUAGAACCUGAAACCCUGCACUUACAAGCUGUGGAAGCACAUUUCUUGUGUGACCGCGUACUUUUUGUAGAACGGGCCAACGAGUUACGUUAAGUAGCAAGGUUAAGCACUUAAGGUGCGGAGCCGUAGCGAAAGCGAGUUUUAACUGAGCGUUCAGUUACUUGACGUAGACCCGAAACCGGGCGACCUACCCAUGAGCAGGAUGAAGCGAAAGUAAAAUUUCGUGGAGGUCCGAACCCACGAGCGUUGAAAAGCUCGGGGAUGACUUGUGGGUAGCGGUGAAAUUCCAAUCGAGCCCGGAGAUAGCUGGUUCUCCCCGAAAUAGCUUUAGGGCUAGCCUCAAGGUGAGAGAUACGGAGGUAGAGCACUGAAUGUCCUAGGGGGUAUUGCACCUACCGAAGACUAUCAAACUCCGAAUGCCGUCAUCUUAUACUUGGGAGUCAGACUGUGGGUGAUAAGAUUCAUAGUCGAAAGGGCAACAGCCCAGAUCGUCAGCUAAGGUCCCUAAAUGUAAGUUAAGUGGUAAAGGAUGUGGGAUUGCACAGACAACCAGGAUGUUGGCUUAGAAGCAGCCACUCAUUCAAAGAGUGCGUAAUAGCUCACUGGUCGAGUGAUCCUGCGCCGAAGAUUUCCGGGGCUAAAACUUACUACCGAAGCUACGGCAUCAGUAA